UUUGAAACUCGCGGCAUAGGUUUCCUUGAAUUCAAGGAAGGGAAGAUGGUGUGAAUCCAUCACGGUCCCGCCGCUGUAACCGGAUACCUAAUCACACGCGAUAUCUUUAAUCGCGGUGAUUGGUACUGGCGCAACAAGCGCCAGUACGAAAUCCGCAUCCUGUUUUUAGGACGGGAAAAGCCACUGUUUAACGGUCCGCAAGGACCUUGGGCGGGAAGGCGCGGAGAGUAGAGAAGCCCUAAUGAUUUUGUUUCACCAACCAUUAGGGCUAUCCUCAACAUAAAUAGGCCGUUUUCAACGGCUAUGGCAGUUGAGGAUACGCCGGAAGUCAGAAGACCAGCCUAUGCCUUAACCUGAUA
This 359-nucleotide non-coding RNA is filed under the name Candidatus Omnitrophota bacterium. The record is from RNAcentral. Lineage: Bacteria; Pseudomonadati; Candidatus Omnitrophota.